GGGCGAGUGGUGAAAUUGGUAGACACGCAUGCCUUAGGAGCAUGUGCCGCAAGGUAUGGAGGUUCGAGUCCUCUCUCGCCCA
Molecule: transfer RNA, 82 nt
Filed under: Patescibacteria group bacterium
Lineage: Bacteria
Description: tRNA-Leu
Rfam family: tRNA
About the family: Transfer RNA (tRNA) molecules are approximately 80 nucleotides in length. Their secondary structure includes four short double-helical elements and three loops (D, anti-codon, and T loops).
Source: RNAcentral